CAAGGCUGAGGCGUGAUGACGAGGCACUACGGUGCUGAAGCGACAAAUGCCCUGCUUCCAGGAAAAGCCUCUAAGCAUCAGGUAACAUCAAAUCGUACCCCAAACCGACACAGGUGGUCAGGUAGAGAAUACCAAGGCGCUUGAGAGAACUCGGGUGAAGGAACUAGGCAAAAUGGUGCCGUAACUUCGGGAGAAGGCACGCUGAUAUGUAGGUGAAGCGACUUGCUCGUGGAGCUGAAAUCAGUCGAAGAUACCAGCUGGCUGCAACUGUUUAUUAAAAACACAGCACUGUGCAAACACGAAAGUGGACGUAUACGGUGUGACGCCUGCCCGGUGCCGGAAGGUUAAUUGAUGGGGUUAGCGGCAACGCGAAGCUCUUGAUCGAAGCCCCGGUAAACGGCGGCCGUAACUAUAACGGUCCUAAGGUAGCGAAAUUCCUUGUCGGGUAAGUUCCGACCUGCACGAAUGGCGUAAUGAUGGCCAGGCUGUCUCCACCCGAGACUCAGUGAAAUUGAACUCGCUGUGAAGAUGCAGUGUACCCGCGGCAAGACGGAAAGACCCCGUGAACCUUUACUAUAGCUUGACACUGAACAUUGAGCCUUGAUGUGUAGGAUAGGUGGGAGGCUUUGAAGUGUGGACGCCAGUCUGCAUGGAGCCGACCUUGAAAUACCACCCUUUAAUGUUUGAUGUUCUAACGUGGGCCCGUAAUCCGGGUUGCGGACAGUGUCUGGUGGGUAGUUUGACUGGGGCGGUCUCCUCCUAAAGAGUAACGGAGGAGCACGAAGGUUGGCUAAUCCUGGUCGGACAUCAGGAGGUUAGUGCAAUGGCAUAAGCCAGCUUGACUGCGAGCGUGACGGCGCGAGCAGGUGCGAAAGCAGGUCAUAGUGAUCCGGUGGUUCUGAAUGGAAGGGCCAUCGCUCAACGGAUAAAAGGUACUCCGGGGAUAACAGGCUGAUACCGCCCAAGAGUUCAUAUCGACGGCGGUGUUUGGCACCUCGAUGUCGGCUCAUCACAUCCUGGGGCUGAAGUAGGUCCCAAGGGUAUGGCUGUUCGCCAUUUAAAGUGGUACGCGAGCUGGGUUUAGAACGUCGUGAGACAGUUCGGUCCCUAUCUGCCGUGGGCGCUGGAGAACUGAGGGGGGCUGCUCCUAGUACGAGAGGACCGGAGUGGACGCAUCACUGGUGUUCGGGUUGUCAUGCCAAUGGCACUGCCCGGUAGCUAAAUGCGGAAGAGAUAAGUGCUGAAAGCAUCUAAGCACGAAACUUGCCCCGAGAUGAGUUCUCCCUGACUCCUUGAGAGUCCUGAAGGAACGUUGAAGACGACGACGUUGAUAGGCCGGGUGUGUAAGCGCAGCGAUGCGUUGAGCUAACCGGUACUAAUGAACCGUGAGGCUUAACCUU
Molecule: ribosomal RNA, 1400 nt
Filed under: Escherichia coli KTE106
Lineage: Bacteria; Pseudomonadati; Pseudomonadota; Gammaproteobacteria; Enterobacterales; Enterobacteriaceae
Description: bacterial LSU rRNA
Rfam family: Bacterial large subunit ribosomal RNA
Source: RNAcentral